RNAcentral lists this ribosomal RNA (433 nucleotides) under uncultured bacterium. RNAcentral describes it as "partial 16S ribosomal RNA". It matches the Rfam family "Bacterial small subunit ribosomal RNA", at positions 29 to 507 of the family's 1533-position model. The record is from RNAcentral.
AACGAACGCUGGCGGCAGGCUUAACACAUGCAAGUCGAGCGAGCAUUUCGGUGCUAGCGGCGGACGGGGGAGUAACGCGUGGGAACUUGCCCUUUUCUGCGGUAUCCUUCAGUGAAAGAUGGCGUCAUACCGCAUACGCUCUUACGGGGAAAGAGCUAUCGCUGAAGGAUCGGCGCGCGUUGGAUUAGGUAGUUGGUGGGGUACUCGCGCACCAAGCCGACGUUCCAUAGCUGGUUGGUGAGGAUGAUCAGCAACGCUGGGACUGAGGCACGGCCCAGACUCCUACGCGGGGCAGCAGUGGGGAAUCUUAGACAAUGGGGGCAACCCUAGUCUAGCCGUGCCGCGUGAGUGAUGAAGGCCUUAGGGUUGUAAAGCUCUCUCAGCUGGGAAGAUAAUGACGGUACCAGCAGAAGAAGCCCCGGCUAACUCCGUG